RNAcentral lists this ribosomal RNA (497 nucleotides) under uncultured bacterium. RNAcentral's name for it is "partial 16S ribosomal RNA". It matches the Rfam family "Bacterial small subunit ribosomal RNA", at positions 28 to 507 of the family's 1533-position model. The record is from RNAcentral.
GAUGAACGCUGGCGGCGUGCCUAAUACAUGCAAGUCGAGCGAACGGACGAGACGCUUGCUUGUCUGAUGUUAGCGGCGGACGGGUGAGUAACACGUGGAUAACCUACCUAUAAGACUGGGAUAACUUCGGGAAACCGGAGCUAAUACCGGAUAAUAUUUUGAACCGCAUGGUUCAAAAGUGAAAGACGGUCUUGCUGUCACUUAUAGAUGGAUCCGCGCUGCAUUAGCUAGUUGGUAAGGUAACGGCUUACCAAGGCAACGAUGCAUAGCCGACCUGAGAGGGUGAUCGGCCACACUGGAACUGAGACACGGUCCAGACUCCUACGGGAGGCAGCAGUAGGGAAUCUUCCGCAAUGGGCGAAAGCCUGACGGAGCAACGCCGCGUGAGUGAUGAAGGUCUUCGGAUCGUAAAACUCUGUUAGUAGGGAAGAACAUAUGUGUAAGUAACUGUGCACGUCUUGACGGUACCUAAUCAGAAAGCCACGGCUAACUACGUG